GGAGUUGUGGCUCAAUGGUAGGGCACCUGUUUUUGCAUACCAAAGGUUCCACGUUCAAUCCCUGGCACCACCU
RNAcentral lists this transfer RNA (73 nucleotides) under Sphaerodactylus townsendi. Its description in RNAcentral is "tRNA-Ala". Lineage: Eukaryota; Metazoa; Chordata; Lepidosauria; Squamata; Sphaerodactylidae. The record is from RNAcentral.